Molecule: ribosomal RNA, 652 nt
Filed under: uncultured Acinetobacter sp.
Lineage: Bacteria; Pseudomonadati; Pseudomonadota; Gammaproteobacteria; Moraxellales; Moraxellaceae
Description: bacterial SSU rRNA
Rfam family: Bacterial small subunit ribosomal RNA
Source: RNAcentral
AUUGAACGCUGGCGGCAGGCUUAACACAUGCAAGUCGAGCGGGGAGAUGUAGCUUGCUACAUUUUCUAGCGGCGGACGGGUGAGUAAUGCUUAGGAAUCUGCCUAUUAGUGGGGGACAACAUCUCGAAAGGGAUGCUAAUACCGCAUACGUCCUACGGGAGAAAGCAGGGGACCUUCGGGCCUUGCGCUAAUAGAUGAGCCUAAGUCGGAUUAGCUAGUUGGUGGGGUAAAGGCCUACCAAGGCGACGAUCUGUAGCGGGUCUGAGAGGAUGAUCCGCCACACUGGGACUGAGACACGGCCCAGACUCCUACGGGAGGCAGCAGUGGGGAAUAUUGGACAAUGGGGGGAACCCUGAUCCAGCCAUGCCGCGUGUGUGAAGAAGGCCCUUUGGUUGUAAAGCACUUUAAGCGAGGAGGAGGCUACUGGUAUUAAUACUACCGGAUAGUGGACGUUACUCGCAGAAUAAGCACCGGCUAACUCUGUGCCAGCAGCCGCGGUAAUACAGAGGGUGCGAGCGUUAAUCGGAUUUACUGGGCGUAAAGCGUGCGUAGGCGGCUUUUUAAGUCGGAUGUGAAAUCCCUGAGCUUAACUUAGGAAAUGCAUUCGAUACUGGGAGGCUAGAGUAUGGGAGAGGAUGGUAGAAUUCCAGGU